GAAAUGCGAUAAUUAAUGUGAAUUGCAGAAUUCAGUGAAUCAUCGAGUCUUCGAACGCACAUUGCGCCCCCUGGUAUUCCGGGGGGCAUGCCUGUCCGAGCGUCAUUGCUGCCCUCAAGCACGGCUUGUGUGUUGGGCUUCCGUCCCUGGCAACGGGGACGGGCCCAAAAGGCAGUGGCGGCACCAUGUCUGGUCCUCGAGCGUAUGGGGCUUUGUCACCCGCUCCCGUAGGUCCAGCUGGCAGCUAGCCUCGCAACCAAUCUUUUUAACCAGGUUGACCUCGGAUCAGGUAGGGAUACCCGCUGAACUUAAGC
This 314-nucleotide unclassified non-coding RNA is filed under the name plant metagenome. Its description in RNAcentral is "partial contains 5.8S ribosomal RNA, internal transcribed spacer 2, and large subunit ribosomal RNA". The stretch from base 1 to 105 matches the Rfam family "5.8S ribosomal RNA", at positions 50 to 154 of the family's 154-position model. The record is from RNAcentral.